GACGAACGCUGGCGGCGUGCUUAACACAUGCAAGUCGAACGAAGAGCGAUGGAAGCUUGCUUCUAUCAAUCUUAGUGGCGAACGGGUGAGUAACGCGUAAUCAACCUGCCCUUCAGAGGGGGACAACAGUUGGAAACGACUGCUAAUGCCGCAUACGAUCUGACCUCGGCAUCGAGGAUAGAUGAAAGGUGGCCUCUAUUUAUAAGCUAUCACUGAAGGAGGGGAUUGCGUCUGAUUAGCUAGUUGGAGGGGUAACGGCCCACCAAGGCGAUGAUCAGUAGCCGGUCUGAGAGGAUGAACGGCCACAUUGGGACUGAGACACGGCCCAGACUCCUACGGGAGGCAGCAGUGGGGAAUCUUCCGCAAUGGACGAAAGUCUGACGGAGCAACGCCGCGUGAGUGAUGACGGCCUUCGGGUUGUAAAGCUCUGUUAAUCGGGACGAAAGGCCUUCUUGCGAAUAGUUGGAAGGAUUGACGGUACCGGAAUAGAAAGCCACGGCUAACUACGUG
RNAcentral lists this ribosomal RNA (510 nucleotides) under uncultured bacterium. RNAcentral's name for it is "partial 16S ribosomal RNA". It matches the Rfam family "Bacterial small subunit ribosomal RNA", at positions 28 to 507 of the family's 1533-position model. The record is from RNAcentral.